GGUGAACGCUGGCGGUAGGCCUAACACAUGCAAGUCGAACGGCAGCACAGUAAGAGCUUGCUCUUACGGGUGGCGAGUGGCGGACGGGUGAGGAAUACAUCGGAAUCUACUUUUUCGUGGGAGAUAACGUAGGGAAACUUACGCUAAUACCGCAUACGACCUACGGGUGAAAGCAGGGGAUCUUCGGACCUUGCGCGAUUGAAUGAGCCGAUGUCGGAUUAGCUAGUUGGCGGGGUAAAGGCCCACCAAGGCGACGAUCCGUAGCUGGUCUGAGAGGAUGAUCAGCCACACUGGAACUGAGACACGGUCCAGACUCCUACGGGAGGCAGCAGUGGGGAAUAUUGGACAAUGGGCGCAAGCCUGAUCCAGCCAUACCGCGUGGGUGAAGAGGGCCUUCGGGUUGUAAAGCCCUUUUGUUGGGAAAGAAAAGCAGCAGGUUAAUACCCCGCUGUUCUGACGGUACCCAAAGAAUAAGCACCGGCUAACUUCGUG
Molecule: ribosomal RNA, 492 nt
Filed under: uncultured bacterium
Lineage: Bacteria
Description: partial 16S ribosomal RNA
Rfam family: Bacterial small subunit ribosomal RNA
Source: RNAcentral